CUACAAGUUUGAAGGCCACUCCUUAACUUUCUACCCAGAUCUGUCCAAGGCCAUGUUGGACUGGCGGAGAGACUUGCAGCCCCUAACUAAGGAGUUAAGUGCCAAACAAGUGGGGUUCUCCAUGAUGCCUGAUCAUCCCUAGAGACUCUAGGACUUUAAGGGUUACAGAUGCCUCUGAGACCACUACUGGUCUUCACACGCUGGGACUGCCAACUGACACAGCAGAGUCGCAUCCUCCAACGACUGCACUAACGCAGAGAUCCUGGGACCCUGACAGGGUUCGUCCGUUUGUCCCAGCUGCACUGAGACGG
This is a non-coding RNA of Pelobates cultripes (western spadefoot toad), 311 nucleotides long. The record is from the annotation of a GenBank genome assembly. Lineage: Eukaryota; Metazoa; Chordata; Amphibia; Anura; Pelobatidae.